GAGUUUCCUGUCCAUAUGUGGUACAGAUUCUAAAGAGCGAGAUAACAUUUGGAUAAGGAGCCAGAGGGAGAUACAAGGAUAGUGACCACAUUGGCUGUCUUGAGUUGUCAUUUCACAGGAUGGUUUGGGUUGAAAGAGGCCUCUAAGAUCACCUGGUUUCCAACUCCCCAGUUUCAAUGAAGACAGCUUCAUCCCGGAUGUUUCUCAAGUUCAAGCAGUUAUAAAAUUUGGUCAGUGCAGUCUCUCCAUCUUCUCUGAAACAAUCUCCUGAGACAGCUGGAUUGAGUGAGUAGUGAAAUGAGAACUCAAGGGCUUGGACCAUGUUGAAUGAGAUGUGUAUCCUGCACAGUAAGUC
This 355-nucleotide long non-coding RNA is filed under the name Cyanistes caeruleus (blue tit). RNAcentral describes it as "lncRNA (ENSCCEG00000015813.1)". The record is from RNAcentral. Lineage: Eukaryota; Metazoa; Chordata; Aves; Passeriformes; Paridae.